UCCCAACACUGAAGCUGCAGAGACAGGAGGACCCCUGGGGUUUACUGAGCAGCCAGCAUAGCCAAACAGGUUUAUGUGACAUGUGUUGGAUGAAAGGAUGGGAGACACAGACCUCCUCAGCCACAGGGAGCACUCUCCAGGAUCACGGGAUGGGAGGCACAGGAUGGACACACAGAUAUACAGACUGCCUCAGCCACAGGGAGCACUCUCCAGGAUCACAGGCUGAGUAAUAAUUUCUCUUCAGUUUGGGAAGUUUUCAUUAUCAUGAAUAUUUUGGAGAAAAGUUACCCUAACUGCAGGAAGUUUGGAAUUCAUCAUGCUGGAAUAGACAAGCCAUUAUGUGUAUUACAGUUUAUUAUUUUCAACCUCAUUGAUUUAAGGACUUGAGAUUGUUCAAAUCCAACUGGCCCACUGCUUUCCUUGGAGCUGUCAGGAAAGGAAAUGUUUACUAUGCAAAUUAGUAUUGUAAAUGAAACUCUUCUGAGAAAAGUAAUUUGAACAUUUCAGGCGCCAAAAUAAAACUGAUAAGUAUGUAGCAGGAAAAGCAGACAGAACUUGGAAUGAAUGAUCAAAAUCAAUACUGCUGACACCAGUGAUGUGGGGAUAAUGGACACAGACAGAGCCUGCCUUACCAGCUACACAGUAGAACAUCCCUAGGGCUGAAGGAGACAGCAGCGACUCAGAGGACAACGGAAGCAAUCC
This 702-nucleotide long non-coding RNA is filed under the name Rattus norvegicus (Norway rat). RNAcentral describes it as "long non-coding RNA NONRATT027920". Lineage: Eukaryota; Metazoa; Chordata; Mammalia; Rodentia; Muridae. The record is from RNAcentral.